CAGCCGCCGCGGGAAUACAGAGGGUGCAAGCGUUAAUCGGAAUUACUGGGCGUAAAGGGCGCGUAGGUGGUUGUGUAAGUGAGAUGUGAAAUCCCCGGGCUCAACCUGGGAACUGCGUCUUAUACUGCAUAGCUUGAGUACAAUAGAGGGUAGUGGAAUUUCCGGUGUAGCGGUGAAAUGCGUUGAUAUCGGAAGGAACACCAGUGGCGAAGGCGGCUACCUGGAUUGAUACUGACACUGAGGCGCGAGAGCGUGGGGAGCAGACAUGAUUAGAUACCCCAGUAGUCCCUGUCUCUUAUAC
This 301-nucleotide ribosomal RNA is filed under the name uncultured bacterium. Its description in RNAcentral is "partial 16S ribosomal RNA". It matches the Rfam family "Bacterial small subunit ribosomal RNA", at positions 509 to 807 of the family's 1533-position model. The record is from RNAcentral.